Molecule: long non-coding RNA, 3684 nt
Filed under: Sus scrofa (pig)
Lineage: Eukaryota; Metazoa; Chordata; Mammalia; Artiodactyla; Suidae
Description: lncRNA (ENSSSCG00040009587.1)
Source: RNAcentral
GCUCUCGGCCGUCGCUGCCCAACGAGCUUCGAUAAACUGCUCUUUUACUGACACUCUGCAGGGCCCAUCCGAAAGAGAAAAUGGGGGGAGAACCCAGGACUCUGGCGUUCUGUUCUCCUAAUAAACUGAGGUUACGAUUGCAAGGUGUACGUAUGUGGGCGGUUGGACCAAUGCUGCCAUCUCGUGGCUGAAACCCCCAACAUACCGCUGCCUGCCUUAAGACCGCGCUGUGGUUUGAGGUGGUUUUAGGCGCGGGCCGCAGACGGGUGAAGCAAAGGAAGAUUUAAUUUGUCAGCCCAGUUAGACCUCCCCAGAUUCCCUGGUUUACUGAAUGGGGCAGGACUUAUGAAAACUAUAGAGAUGUGCAAAAGAACAACCAUCCUUCUCUCUGCUACUAUGAAUUUUGACUUUUUAAGAUUCUACAUGUAAAUGAUAUAAUGACAGCACCCCUGGACAUAGAGAAGUUCUCAGGCCAGGGGUGGAAUCUCUAGCCGCCGGCCUGCACCACAACCACAGCAACUCCAGAUCCAAGCCACAUCUGCGACCUACACCACAGCUCACAGCAACACCAGGUCCUUAACCCACUGAGUGAGGCCAGGGAUCAUACCUGAAUCCCCAUGGAUAUUAGUCGGGUUUGUUACUGCUGAGACAUGAUGGAACGCCCACCAUUUCUUUUUUUAAGUUAAAGUUUUGAUUUUAUGUUUAUCUUUUAUUAUAAAAACUCAUUAUAGAGUUUUAUUUUUUUCCACUAUAGCUGGUUUACAGUGUUCUGUCAAUUUUCUCCUGCAUAGCAAGGUGACCCAGUCACACAUACAUGUAUACAUUCUUUUUUCUUACAUUACCAUGCUCCAUUACAAGUGACCAGACACAGUUCCCAGUGCUAUACAGCGGGAUCCCAUUGCUUAUCCAUUCCAAAGGCAGUAGUUUGCAUCUAUUAAACCCAAAUUCCCAGUCCAUCCCACUCCCUCCCCCUCCCUCUUGGCAACCAGAAGUUUGUUCUUCUUGUCCAUGGUUUUCUUUUCUGUGGAAAGAUUCAUUUGUGCCAUAUAUUAGAUUCCAGAUAUAAGUGAUAUCAUAUGGUAUUUGUCUUUCUUUUUCUGACUUACUUCACUCAGUAUGAGUCUCUAGUUCCAUCCAUGUUGCUGCAAAUAGCAUUAUUUUUUUCUUUUUUUUUAUGUCUGAAUAGUACUCCAUUGUGUAUAUAUACCACAUCUUCUUAAUCCAAUCCUCUGUCAAUGGACAUUUAGGUUGUUUCCAUGCCUUGGCUAUUGUGAAUAGUGCUGCAAUGAACAUGUGGGUGCAAGUGUCUUUUUCAAGGGAAGUUUUGUCCGAGUAUAUGUCCAAGAGUGGGGUUGCUGAGUCAUAUGAUAGUUCUAUGUAUAGUUUUCUAAGGUACCUCCAUACUGUUCUCCAUAGUGGCUGUACCAGCUUACAUUCCCAUCGACAGUGCAGGAAGGUUCCCUUUUCUCCACACCCUCUCCAGCAUUUGUUAUCUGUGGCCCUUCUGACUGGUGUGAGUGACUUUAUGUUUAAAAGUUAACACAUCUUGAGUUUUCUGAGCCAACAAGCAUGUUCUCUAACACCAUAUUCUACAAGUGGAUAUUGAAAUAAAUUUUAGCUAAAAUAUAUCAACAGAAGAAUUCCUACUAUUCCUUAAAUACAUUUUUGGUUUUUAACAUUCAGUUAAUUUAAAUUCUUCUAGUACUUACAUUGAAUUAUGGUGGUUUUUUCCCCCCUUUUCCCCAGCAGUUACUGAAAUAUACUUGACAUAUAAUAUUGUACUACUUUUAGUUGUACACAUAGCGAUUUCAUAUUUGUAUACAUAGCCAAAUUAUUACCAUAAUAAAUUUAGUUAACACUCAUACCCUCACAUAGUUAAUAAUUCUUUUUCUUGUGAUAAUAACUUUUAAGAUCUACUCUCCUAGCUAAUUACAAAUAUACAACAUUGUUAACCAUACUCACCAUGCUAUACAUUACAUCCCUAGAAUUUAUCUUAUGACUGGAAGUUUGUACCUUUUGCUUACCUUCACCCAUUUUGCCUCUCACCCCCAAACCCCACCUCUGGCAACUACCAAUACGUAUCUAUGAGUUUGGGUUUUCAUUUUUGUUUUUUUUUGUUUUUUGUCUUUUUAGGGCCGAAUCUGUGGUAUAUGCAGCUUCCCAGGCUAUGAGUUGAGUUGAAGCUGUAGCUGCCAGCCGAGCAGUGUCUGCCAUCUAUACCACAGCUUACUGAGCCACAAUGGGAACUCCAAGUUUGGGGUUUUGUUUUUUUUAAGAUUCCAUGUAUAGAUGAGAUCAUACAGGGUUUGUCUUUCUCUUUCUGACUUAUUUCACAUAAUGCCUUCAGGGUCCAUCUGUCAUUGCAAAUGGCAGGAUUUCUUUUAUUUAGAAAUAAUUUUAUUGAAAUAUAGUUGUUUCACAACAUUGUUCCUUCAUUUUUAUGGCUGAAUUUCCUCUGAUAUAUAUUGAUAUACUGAUGUCAUAUUUUCUUUAUCCGUUCAUCCAUCAAUGGACAUUUGGGUUGAUUCCAUAUGUUGGCUGUUGUAAAUCAUCCUGCAAUGAACAUGAAGGUGCAGAUAGGUAUCUUUUUGAGAUAGUGGUUUUUCUUUCUUUUGAAUAUAUACAUAGAAGUAGGAUUGCCGGAUUAUAUGGCAGUUUUCAAUUUUUUGAUGAACCUCCAUACUGUUCUCCAUAGUGGCUAUGCCAGUUUACAUUCCCACCUACAGUGAACAAGGGUUCCUUUUUCUCCACAUCCCCACCAACUUUUGUUAUUUCUGGGUUUUUUUUUUGAUGAUAGGCAUUGUAAGGUGAUAUCUCAUUGUGUGUGAGUGUGUGUGUGUGUGUGUGUGUGUGUGUGUGUGUGUGUGUGUGUUUGGCCAUGCCUAAGGCAUAUGGAGAUUCUCUGGGUCAGGAAUUGAACCCAUGCCAAAGCAGUGACCUGAGCCAUAGCCAUGACAGUGCUCCAUCCUUAACCACCAGGCUACCAGGGAACUCCCCCACCUAUAUUUUUUCUUCUAGGAGUUUUAUGGUGUCUAGUCUUACAUUUAGGUCUUUAAUCCAUUUUGAGUUUAUUUUUAUAUAUGGUGUUAGAGAAUGUUCUAGUUUCAUUCUUGUACAAGUAACUGUCCAGUUUUCCUAGUACCACUUAUUGAAUAGAAUAUAUUUUCUCCAUUGUAUAUUCUUGCCUCCUUUGUCAUGGAUUAAUUAACCAUAAGUGUGGAUUUAUUUUGGGGCUUUCUUUUCUUUUCCAUUGAUCUAUGUGUCUGUUGGAAGCACAACUGAUUAUUGUGUAUUGAUUUUGAAUACUCCAAAUUUACUGGAUUUAUUAGUUGUAAGAGUUUGUGCAUGUGUGCGUGUGUGUGCAGUCUUUAGAGUUUUCUUCCUGUAGGAUCAUGCCAUCUGCAAACAGUGAGAACUGUCCUUCUUCCUUUUAGAUUUGGAUUUCUUUUUUGUGGGGGCUCUGAUUGCUGUUUACAAUAUUUCUAGUACAAUGUUGAAUAGAAGUGGCAAGAGUGGACAUCCUUGUCUUGUACUGAAUCUUAGGAAAAAAUUAUCAGUUUUUCUGCAUUGAUUAUGAUUUAGCUGUGACUUUUCAUAAAUGGUCUCUGUUAUGUUGAGAAAGUUUCCUUUUGUACCUAUUUUGUUGAGAAUUUAUAUCACAAAUAAAUGUUGAAUGUUGUCAAA